GACGGAGGGUGCUAUCGUUGUUCGGAAUCACUGGGCGUAAAGGGCGCGUAGGCGGCGCCGCAAGUCGGCUGUGAAAGCCCGGGGCCCAACCCCGGAGGUGCAGUCGAGACUGUGGUGCUGGAGGCCGGAAGAGGAGGGUGGAAUACCCAGUGUAGAGGUGAAAUUCGUAGAUAUUGGGUGGAACACCGGUGGCGAAAGCGGCUCUCUGGUCCGGUCCUGACGCUGAGGCGCGAAAGCGUGGGGAGCAAACAGG
This 253-nucleotide ribosomal RNA is filed under the name uncultured bacterium. Its description in RNAcentral is "partial 16S ribosomal RNA". It matches the Rfam family "Bacterial small subunit ribosomal RNA", at positions 524 to 776 of the family's 1533-position model. The record is from RNAcentral.